RNAcentral lists this ribosomal RNA (468 nucleotides) under uncultured bacterium. RNAcentral's name for it is "partial 16S ribosomal RNA". It matches the Rfam family "Bacterial small subunit ribosomal RNA", at positions 28 to 507 of the family's 1533-position model. The record is from RNAcentral.
GACGACCGCUGGCGGCGUGCUUAACACAUGCAAGUCGAACGGAAAGGCCCUGCUUUUGUGGGGUGCUCGAGUGGCGAACGGGUGAGUAACACGUGAGUAACCUGCCCUUGACUUUGGGAUAACUUCAGGAAACUGGGGCUACUACCGGAUAGGAGCUCCUGCUGCAUGGUGGGGGUUGGAAAGUUUCGGCGGUUGGGGAUGGACUCGCGGCUUAUCAGCCUGUUGGUGGGGUAGUGGCUUACCAAGGCUUUGACGGGUAGCCGGCCUGAGAGGGUGACCGGCCACAUUGGGACUGAGAUACGGACAAGACUGCUACGGGAGGCAGCAGUGGAGAAUAUUGCACAAUGGGCGGAAGCCUGAUGCAGCAACGCCGCGUGCGGGAUGAUGGCCUUCGGGGUGUAAACCGCUUUCGCCUGUGACGAAGCGUGAGUGACGGUAAUGGGUAAAGAAGCACCGGCUAACUACGUG